Long non-coding RNA from Perca flavescens (yellow perch), 3756 nucleotides. RefSeq lists it as uncharacterized. The transcript is spliced from 4 exons. NCBI's taxonomy places the organism in Eukaryota, Metazoa, Chordata, Actinopteri, Perciformes, Percidae. The record is from RefSeq and is a predicted model, not a curated record.
UUCAUGGUCGACAGGAAGACAACGCGAGGGUUAACCGUGACUCAUCCCUCGCUCCUUUUAAGUGCUAACACGGAUAUAAAAGAAGUGAUCCCGAACGAGGAGAAGAUUCCACCAGGGGGCAUUAUUCAAGUGUUUGCCAAUCGGUUCAAGCACGCUCGAGGAAGCCGUCUCCUCUUUGAGAGGCGGAUACGUCCUUGAAUUGAAGACACUACACAUUCCUCUGAUGAGGGAAGUACCGGGUGUCUCACUCGAUUGGGUCUCGAGCCGCGGUUGCUUAAUCAUCCCCCGUCGUCGGCGCUGACCUUCCUGUAACAUGCUCGAGAGGCCCGCGGCCACACUGACCCUCCCUCGAGCGGAGAGGAGAGAGAGAGAGUGAGAAAAGCAUCUCCCCGAGGUUUCGGCACAAUACAACAACCUCCACCGGGCCUGUGGAGGGAGGGUCUUCUCCAGCAGGCAGCUAAUGAAGGCUGAGAGGACCUGUGGCGGCUCGGUAAUUGAACCUCGGGGACAUUCUCUCACUCUACAUCAGCAUUCUGCUCCCCUGAAGAUACCGGCAGCAUCACACUGCUGCUGCUGAGGGCUCUUUAAUGUGCAGGGACAAAGGCACCGUGGUGUUUCUGGGACGAGAGGUGAAGAAAGUUAGGCCAGUGGUCAUGAGCUUCAACUGUGAGACAAAUUCUGGUCGGUUUACCUUUUGGUCGCAUUUCUGUUUUAUACUUUGGAGGAAAAAUAAUGCCGACCAGAUGGAGUUAUUUAUUUUUUAAACAAAAUAUCCAAUAUGGCAAUGCAAUAUUCAAUUGUCUCUAUCUGUUGGCAUUUAUGUCCCAUUCAUGCAUGUUACUAACUUGGCAUUUUCUCCGGAGUCCUUAAGCUUUCUUGCCUCGCAGAUGUCCUUGGAUUGUGGUGGCACCUGGAUUGUGGUUGCAGCUGCUGCCGUGGUCCUGCUUGACACCCGGCACUGCUUCUACUAAUAUUACUAGUCAUUGUUCUAUUAUUCUAUUCUUUAUCUUUACUGUUCCUAUAAUUGCCACUGGUCAUCAUGCCAUUCCGUUAUACCCACUGCUAUCAUUAUUAUGUACUGUAUAUAGCUUUCUCUUUCUCUCCCUAUCCCCAACCGGUUGCAUCCGAUGGCCGCCCACCAAGAGCCAGAUUCUUUCCAAGGUUUAUGUCUGUCUGCCAAUUACAGUGUUACUUUUCGUAGAUAUAUGUUUAAAUGAUUCAUGAAAACAACCUGCUAUAAAUCACCGAAGAUUAGAACACCAAACAAACGCAGGCAAAAGACACUUUGUUCAUUCAGAUAUUAGAGAUAUAGAGACAGCACAAGAACACGCUAACAAGUAGCUCGUCAUCUUAACACCUGACUUCGGGGACCGAAGCGGGAAAAGUUACAUAGUGUUGCUUUAAGUCACACAAACAAAAUGGAUUUAGGGGACUUGAUGCUUUAUCUUCAAGUAGUUAAAGACAGUUGAGUCCGAUAUUUAUUCAUGUGUUCACCAUUAAUGUUUCUGAUGAUUAUCUGGUCCUGAUCAGAGGGUAGAACCUGCAGAGCUUAGCCCAGUAAAACAUAUAUGUGCUCUUUCCACCGCUACAGUAUCACAUUAUCGCACCACAGACCACAUUUUUCUUAAAUUACACUCGGUCAACUUCCUCUUCUCUGUUGCUGACCAAGACCUGUUUUUACUGUUACCCUCACUGUGAAUCACUAUAGAUAAAACAGCCAAAUGCAUCAAACUUAAAAAUGCUAAAAGUAUUUUUUAUUCUUUUGACAUCUUAAAAGGAUUCAGAGAGAAUCAAAGCUAAUAUCACACAUGAAUUUGACUUUUAACAGAGGAGUAAUGAAGUCAGUAUGAGGAAGUGGCCGCAGGAAGUAGAUGCUAUAUUAAUUUUUAAGACGCAGCGCAUCAGACAGUUUGACAUUUGAGAGAGUGAGACAGAGAGAGAAGCACAAUGGAUCAGAACAGAUGGAUUAUAAUGUCUUCAUUUCUGAUGCUGCUGGUUCAGUUUAGAGGUAGGAGAAUACAAGUUUUAUUGUAACAUACUGAGUUUAGUGAACUCUUGGAAAUCAAACAUGAGACAUUUUCAAACGUAUAUAAAAUGAUCAUCACACGUAACAUUCAUAUUUAUAAUUCAUAUUUGUCUUUUCUCAACAGCAGCAGCUUGGAAGUUUCACUCCACUGUAAGAGUUGGAGAUGAAGUCACUUUGUCUUGUGGAAAUGUUACAGCUGAUCAGGAUCAUUGUAUCAAUACUGCCUGGAUGUUUGAUGACAGAGAGGUGCUGUUUAGACACGGUAAGAUUUAUAAAGAAGCCAAAACUAAAUCAGACAGACUGAGUGUUACAGAGAACUGUUCUCUGGUUAUAAAGAAGGUCACAGAUGAGGAUGUUGGUCGUUAUAGUUGCAUACAGUUCAUAGCAGGACAUUAUUACACUAUGGUUAUUCUGACUGUUGUUACCAUGACUGAACAGAAGAACAAUGAUACGGUCACCUUGAUCUGCUGUGUCGAGAAAGCAUGCGUGUUACCACACAGUGGAGUGGCUGUAUGAGGGUGAUAAGACUGACGUGAAGACAACACAGCAUGACUGCUCAGCCAAUGUGACGUUUACAACAUCUCAUCUUCAUCAGAAGUCAAAGUAUUACAAGUUAUUGAAAUGUGAAGUGACAAAUACUCACAAUGGAGAAGGGCAGCUGUUCACCUUCAUCCCUCCUCAGUCCUCCGGUGAGAAACCAGGUGAUGAUGCAACAACUACAAUAUCUCCGACAACAAAUAAAUCACCAAUGACAACAGGAAAUAAAUGGACAUCAGAAGAGUCAAACAACACGGCAUCUGAAAACAACAAUCAAACUAAACCAGAACACAACAGAACUACAUUUACAGUUUACAGAAAAGACAUGCAGGCAAAAGACACUUUGUUCAUUCAGAUAUUAGAGAUACUAGUACUGUGCCCGUUGAAAAUGUGCGGGCCGAUUGCUUAGCUUGUGGUACAGCUGCUUGAAGCUUUCUCCAGAACCAAAUUGUACCCCAAAAUUACUUACUGAAGGACCCCAAACCACUUAAUUUGCAAUUCCACGGCCUACUACGGACUUACAGUAUACUUCUACAUCAAGAUUAGAGGCUUGACGGUUAACGUUGAGGAAUGGAUUUGAUUUGCGGGGGUAUUUUGCCGAGGGUAAUGUUAUUAGUAUUAUAACUUGAUGAUACAGAAGACAAACCAUUUUGUGGAUUGAUGCAUCAUCAUGUGAUAUUUGCAACGAUGUGACUCAAAAACAGUGUCUGGUAGCCUGCCUAUAAGUGGCAUCACGCUCUGUCUGCCACUUGUCUGUAGCUGGUUGUGCUUUGCACAAUUACACUAAAUAUUUGUUUGGAUCUGAUGUUUUAAUGUUUCAUCAUUCUUUGUUUUGUUUAGUGCAGACGUUUUUUCUCACUGAACAGUGUGUUAUUGUGUUUAAGGUGAUGAUGCAACAACUACAAUAUCUCAGACUACAAAUAAAUCACCAAUGAAAACAGGAAAUAAACGGACAUCAGAAGAGACAAACAACACGAAAUCUGAAAACAACAAUCAAACUAACCCAGAAGGUAGUGACUGAACACAACAGAACUACAUUUACAGUCAGAAAAGACAUGCAGGCAAAAGACACUUUGUUCAUUCAGAUAUUAGAGAUAUAGAGACAGCACAAGAACACGCUAACAAGUGCUAAAGUAUCCGGUUGCUUCUUCUGCUUUAGGGAGUUUAAUUGUGUAGGACCGCCAGAGGAUAAC